This is a long non-coding RNA of Ipomoea nil (Japanese morning glory), 350 nucleotides long. RefSeq lists it as uncharacterized. The record is from RefSeq and is a predicted model, not a curated record. NCBI's taxonomy places the organism in Eukaryota, Viridiplantae, Streptophyta, Magnoliopsida, Solanales, Convolvulaceae. The transcript has 2 exons.
UGAAGGAGGUUCAAAUGGCUUGGCACUUGAAAUGUCAAGUAAGUGUUCUUAAACUUUAAAUUAAGUUAUGCUCUACAGUGUUAAGUUUAUGCAAUCCAUCCUCAGUUACGAAAGUAAGUUUUCCUAACCUGCUCAUUAUUCAUUUUCUUUUAAGACCUAGGACAGUAUGUAACUUGUAGAACUCUCAAUGCAUUGAUAAUUUUUUUUUUUUUUUUUUUAGCUAUGCAAUAGUUAUCUAUGUGUAUGAAUUUUUACACAAAUCUGUUGAGUAUAUACAUUAAUUUUGACUGUUUAAGUUGUACUGACAGUAUGUAACUGGUAUAAUUCUCAAUGCAUGAUUAGUUGUACUA